ACCAUCUGGAGUGAAAUAGAUGUUGGGGACUCAGCUAAGCAGCCACUACAGGGAAAAAGGAAGGAAUCCACAUGUUCCUUCUAAGCCGCUGGGUGUUUCUCACACAUCCCCUCUUUAAAUUCUUGCAUCCACCCUCUAGGGGUACGCUCUUACCUUUUCUGGAUUAAUAAGAAAACAGAGGAUCUGGGAGGUAGCCACUGCCCAGGGACUCACAUCUCCACUGUGUUCCAAAGUCCCUGCUCUUUUUAUUACUCUACACUGCAGACUGAGAGUGAAGUGGAAGACAGAAGCUGUGCUCAGAGAGGGGAUUUUCAGUAUUAAAUAUCUUACAUGUGGCAACAUUUCUUUUGAAGUGCUGCAUGCUCGGUUGGCUUCAACGAAGACCCUCUAGGACUGAGGACUGUGAGAGCAACAGUUGAAAACAUCAUCAAAAACAGACUCCUCCAACAGGUGUCUGCCAAGACCAAGAGAGAGAGACACUUUUCCAGACUGCAGACUUGUGCUAGAAGGUGCCACGGAAGAGUAAAGUGGCCAGCAAUGUUACAGAUCACGCUGGACACCGAAGUAAAGACUGUGUGGAGUAGAGCCACAGCCAACCCUCAGUAGCCAUAUAGUAUGAACAAGGAAUGAACUUCUUUUGUUUGAAGAGAUUUGGAGGUCAUUUGUUACUACAGCAAAACUUCUCCCAUUCUGAUGAUGCCAUGGCAUACCUGAUGAGACCCUUUGAUCUCAAGAAAAGCUCUAAUUAAUUGGAGUGUGCCAGACAAAUGUUAGCCACUCACUUAUACAAACACCAAUGGAACAUAAAUAAUUUUCUUGAGUUUCUAUCAGCUUUGUCCUCUGGGGGUUCAGCUUUAUCUCCAAGCUUAUAAAGAGAUGACUAAAAAUUCCAGUUAUCGUAUCCAUACAAAAACAGGUCAUCUCUUUCUAUGUCUCUUUCAUAUAGAAUUAAAAAUUACCAGAAGCUCUGUAGAAGCUUCUAUAGCAUAUAAUGAUAAUGAUAAUGAAGAGCAUGGGCUGCAGAGUCACAGAAAUCUGAGUCCAAAUACUGACUGGGUGAUCUUUCGGCAAGGGACUUAAUCACUGUUUCUAUAUCUGUCAAAUGCAAAUAACAAUAGGAUCAUUGCCAAAAAUAAAUGAGUACAUACAAGGGUUUUGGACCAGUGUCUGGUACAUAGAACAUACUUUGUGCAUGUUAGUAGUGGACAUCUGUCAUGUUCUUGCUCUCCCAUCUUAUGACUUUUCAUAGUAAUCUUCUAAUAUCAUGAAUCCCACCUUCACCUCCCUUGCAGCAAAUUUAUCCAUGGCCAACUUUCACCCACAAUUACAUAGGGAAGGGAAUUCUGGGAAGCAUAGUUCCAGCUUAGCCAGAUAGACAGCUAUCACGGGCUGGAAAGGUAGAUCAUGGCAGACUGUGCAGCCAGGCUAAGGAUUCGGGUGGGGGCACAGAGUAAAGUCUCAGAAAAUUGUUUUCUUUUUCUUCCCUCCUCCUCCUCCUCCUCCUCCUUUAUAUAUACAGAGAGUGCACACAAGCGGGGAAGGAAGGCAGAGGGAGAGAGAGAGAGAAUCUUAAGCAGGUUCCAUUCUCAGGACAAAGCCUGACGUGGGCUUGAUUCCACAACCUUGGGAUUGUGAUCUGAGGCAAAAUAAGGAGUCAGAUGCUCAACUGUUUUCUUUUUAAGUAGAUAUGGCUUGACCAGCUUUGCAUUUAAAAAGACCUAUUAGGUACCAGGGUGGAUAAUGAUUGGUGGUGGGAGACAGGAAGCAGGAAGAACCAAUUGUUGCAAUAUUUUGUAAUUUCUAAGGUACUGCUUUAAAUCCUGUGGAACAAGGUGAGAUAAGAAUGCACAAGCAAACAAUUGCUAGAGUAAGUUUAAUUCUUUUUUUAAUGUUUAUUUUUCAGAGAGAGGAGAGAGAGAGAGAGAGAGAGAGAGAGAGAGAGCAGGGGAGGGGCAGAGAGAGAGGGAGACACAGAAUCUGAAGCAGGCUACAGCUUCCAGCUGUCAGUACAGAGCCUGACACAGGGCUAGAACUCACGAACCAUGAGAUCAUGACCGAGGCCGAAGUGAGAUGUUUAACCAACUGAGCCACCCCGGCGCCCCAGGGUAAUUUUAGUUCUGUCUGUAAUGCAAUAUAAAAAAUAAAAUACAGGUACACACACCAGAUUAAGAAACUUCUUUUUUUCCCCAUAGACGUUCAGUCCAUUCCAUUAGUUUCCCAAAAUGUGGUGUUGUUAUUAAUUUAAUUCUGGGUUUUUCCCAUUAAACAAUGUAAGUGUGUCAAAUGAUCAAAAUAAUUCACUCACAUUUUCCUCCUCACGCACAGUGUAGAUGUAUGCUAUGAAAGACAAUGAAUCCACUCAAUUAGAACCAAAGAGCUUUCUGACUAAGCUUUAGAUUUGUGUGUCAGUUUUAGUUCCAAAAAACGCAUUAGGAAGUAAGAAAGAAGGAAACACUCACCUCGAGAAACAAGCCUCUGCACUAACCACCCAGGUAUUCCCCUCUCUCUCCCAGCCUUCCUUGUGAUUGCUGGGGCUUGGGUGUUCAGUGCUGGCUGAUGGGCUGUGAGCAGAUGUGAUGUGUCCCACAUCUGGGCUGGGGCAGCGUGGAGCUGGGGUGCCUCCUUCAGUUUUUUAUUUUUAUUUUUUAAUUUUUUUUCAAUGUUUACUUAUUUUUGAGACAGAGAGACAGAGCAUGAACAGGGGAGGGGCAGAGAGAGAGAGACACAGAAUCCGAAACAGGCUGCAGGCUCUGAGCGGUCAGCACAGAGCCUGACGCGGGGCUCGAACUCACGGGCUGUGAGAUCAUGACCUGAGCCGAAGUCGGAUGCUUAACCGACCGAGCCACCCAGGCGCCCCAAGUUUUUUAUUACCUACUGUGGUGACUUGAAGGCAACAGACAACAGAGCCACAAGAUGAGGAGGGUUGUCUGACCAGGAUGGGGCUUCAUGUGAAUAGAAAAAUGGGUUUUUAUUAUGAAAAAUAAAUUGGGGAUUUGUUACCUUGGCAUGGCCUAGCAUAGCCUGGCUAAUACACCUGGCGAAGUCAGUGUCAGGUACUUUCACACCUUUUCUCCUCAAUGAGCCACCCCAAUGAGCCUGUGACAAACAUAGGGCAUGGGAAGGAGCUUACCUAUGCACGCAGUUUGCACUGAUGGAACUUGAACCAACAGGUAUGGAUCCAAAGCCCAUGAGUUUUCUAUCCGACCAUACAAUAGCACAUCCUAUUCCAACUACAGAAUCUAAAGGAUCUGGCCAUGGGUGGACAAGAAGCAUUGACUUGUUGAAGUAUUGAGAGGGACACAAAGUUCUAGCUGGUCCAAGGUCCUCAU
Long non-coding RNA from Acinonyx jubatus (cheetah), 3329 nucleotides. RefSeq lists it as uncharacterized. The record is from RefSeq and is a predicted model, not a curated record. NCBI's taxonomy places the organism in Eukaryota, Metazoa, Chordata, Mammalia, Carnivora, Felidae. The transcript has 3 exons.